Molecule: long non-coding RNA, 342 nt
Filed under: Mytilus galloprovincialis (Mediterranean mussel)
Lineage: Eukaryota; Metazoa; Mollusca; Bivalvia; Mytilida; Mytilidae
Source: RNAcentral
AUCAAAUUGUUUACUACUUGAUCCAAUUUUAUCUCACAUUUUAUCCUCCAACUGCUCCGUUUUAUUAUUUCUUAUACAAUUCCCUACUCGCAUCAACCAAAUAUCAAAAGGAACGGGUAUUGACCGCUUAUGAAGAUUUAUUUCCGCCAGUCUCAUUUUCUAAAUGACCUACAUAUGCUUGCAUUCUACUAUUACAUCAAGGGCUCAACUUGUUUGGUGUUUAAUCAAUUGCGAGGAGUUAUCUGUACCUGUCCAUUCAUUUAAUAAUCAGCAUCAACAGUGCUUGUCAUAAAGACAAAAGGAACCAAUGAGAGGACAAAAAUAAGGUCUUUGAUAGCAGGG